AAGCUUAAAUAACAAAUCACUAAUUUCGCAACCAAAAUUUAACCCUUCAUCUAUACUGGAUUAUUUUAUACAUUUAUAAAAGUCAUUAUGUUAGAACUAGUAACAAGAAAUUGCUUUUCUCCAAAAUGCACGUUUGAACCAAAUAGGACCAACCAUUGGACUUUAACACAAAUUAUAAUCUAUAACACCACACAACCAGAGUACCUUAAAAAUUUUAGUGUCAAUCUAACACCAGAGCAUUACAGGAAAGAUUAAAAGAGAAAGAAGGAACUCGGCAAAUUUUAGUCCCGCCUGUUUACCAAAAACAUCGCCUCCUGGCCAAAUAUAGGAGGUCCAGCCUGCCCAGUGACAAAAUUCAACGGCCGCGGUACCCUAACCGUGCGAAGGUAGCAUAAUCACUUGUUCUUUAAAUGGGGACUAGUAUAAACGGCAUCACGAGGACUACACUGUCUCCUUUUUCCAAUCAGUGAAACUGAUCUCCCCGUGAAGAAGCUGGGAUAUUUACAUAAGACGAGAAGACCCCAUGGAGCUUUAAACCCAAUGCAUAAUUCAAUCCACUAAACCACCAAAACCCAAGAAACCUAUGCAUCGGUUUUAGGUUGGGGUGACCGCGGAGUAAAACCUAACCUCCGCAACAAACGGGCUAACGCCAUGAUCUAUGAACCACAAUUCUAAGAGCCAACAAAUUGUUGCCCAAUGACCCAAUUAAUUGAUCAAUGAACCAAGUUACCCUGGGGAUAACAGCGCAAUCUACUUCAAGAGCCCCUAUCGACAAGCAGGUUUACGACCUCGAUGUUGGAUCAGGGUAUCCCAGUGGCGCAGCCGCUACUAAAGGUUCGUUUGUUCAACG
Molecule: ribosomal RNA, 850 nt
Filed under: Amolops afghanus
Lineage: Eukaryota; Metazoa; Chordata; Amphibia; Anura; Ranidae
Description: partial large subunit ribosomal RNA
Rfam family: Bacterial large subunit ribosomal RNA
Source: RNAcentral